GCCAGGCGUGGUGGUGCAUGCCUGUAAUCCCAGCUACUCGGGAGGCUGAGGCAGGAGAAUCACUUGAACCCGGGAGGUGGAGGUUGUAGUGAGCAGAGAUGGCACCACUGCACUCCAGCCUGGGUGACAGAGUGAGACUCUGUCUCAA
This is an unclassified non-coding RNA of Macaca fascicularis (crab-eating macaque), 148 nucleotides long. It matches the Rfam family "Metazoan signal recognition particle RNA". From Rfam's summary of the family: The signal recognition particle (SRP) is a universally conserved ribonucleoprotein. The record is from Ensembl. Lineage: Eukaryota; Metazoa; Chordata; Mammalia; Primates; Cercopithecidae.